GAUUUGCGCAGACCGGGCGGGGCCGGGUCGGCGCCGGUCCUCAGCCGGGGCCAAAAAAAGGGCGCACCAUGUGCGCCCGGGUUGCGAUCCUCGUCGAAUCG
This 101-nucleotide transfer RNA is filed under the name Lacunisphaera limnophila. Its description in RNAcentral is "tRNA-Glu". Lineage: Bacteria; Pseudomonadati; Verrucomicrobiota; Opitutia; Opitutales; Opitutaceae. The record is from RNAcentral.